GUAAUCGAGUGUGGGGAGCUGUGGAGAGCACCGCCUGGAGGCUGCAGCCAUCUUCAGGAGCUCCGCAUUCCCGGUGCUCCGACGUUAGGUGUUUGGUUUGUACUCUCCAUGGAUCUUUUGUCGGAUUUUAUUGGUUUGUUGAUCUUUGCCGUGUUGGCGGUAUCCCUCCGCCCACUGCUGCCCGCAGCACGGUGGGACUCCCGGGCACGGCAGGGCAGGGCCGCCCCGCGCCCUUCAGCUCCACAGCCAUGACACAGAGGGGCAGCCCGGCGGGAGGAUCCCUGUGGCUCCGGGCAGCGCGAUGCCGCUCCCGACCCCGACAGGAGGGUUCAGCUAGGAGCCUCUCGAAGGGGAUUUUGCAGAGAGCGAUCGGCAGGACAGAGCCCCGUCGUUAUUACAGAACUAAUGAGUUCUCCAGGCGCUCCCUUCGGGCCGAGGAACUGCCGUGCUCCACACAGGGACCGCCGAGGAGAAAUAAGCCUGGUGCGGACGCCCCGUCCCGGGCGGCUGCGGAUCCCUCGGUGCCACCGUGGGCGCUCCGCGUUCGUCGCAGAGUUGGGACCGCAGCUCUCCGCCAGAGCUGCGCUGUGUCCCUCCCGACGAAAAGUCCAACAGAACGCAGUUCCAAAAAGAAAGGGAAAAGCGUUGGGAAGCACAGACUGUAACGCCCCGCGGAGGGCAGCGGGUCAGAGCCUCCCGCGCCCCCAUUAAGUGCUCCGAGCUGCAAAUCCAACACUUCCAGCCCAGCCAUGAGCUAACCAACCCCCUUGGACGGAGCAAUGCCUCGGAGACCGGGAGCGGAGAGAAAAAAUAAUCAGAACUGUCAGCCCGCUUGACGUGUACCUGAUAUUUACAAGACACAAGACCGCGCUUUAAAGGUGAGUUUUGGCAUUUGUUAACAACAUAAAGAAAAAAAUCCAACCUCCUGAUAUUAUUAAAAUAUAUAUAUAUUUCCAUUUCCACAACACCCUUUCGUCUCGCUCCCAGUCUCUUACUUAUUAAGAACUUCGUGGGUUUAGGGGGGGAGGAAGUAUUCAUACAUAUAUAUAUAUGUGUGCGUAAAAGCAGCACCUGCUGUUCCUUAGCAGCUCUCUGUGCUCGCUGUCACCAGGCGGAGAGAGGAGGACACCUGCUGCCGACCCGCUCCCUCGUCGGGGCGCUCCCUGGGGCGGCUCUGUGGGGUUUGGCGCUGCCGGAGGAGGGCGAGCGGCCGCCUCGCACUGCCUCCCUCCCUCCGGUGCGCGGGGAGCCGUUUCCAGCGCCUCGUCCGCCCUGUCGGGGGCUCCGCCGCCGCUACCUCUCCCUCAGCGGCAG
RNAcentral lists this long non-coding RNA (1314 nucleotides) under Meleagris gallopavo (turkey). RNAcentral describes it as "lncRNA (ENSMGAG00000019162.1)". Lineage: Eukaryota; Metazoa; Chordata; Aves; Galliformes; Phasianidae. The record is from RNAcentral.